Molecule: long non-coding RNA, 2168 nt
Organism: Notothenia coriiceps (black rockcod)
Lineage: Eukaryota; Metazoa; Chordata; Actinopteri; Perciformes; Nototheniidae
Exons: 4
Source: RefSeq, a predicted model, not a curated record
AUCAUUACAGACUGCUGAAUUAAUCCACUAAAAUUGUCAGUUGCUUCUUUUCUACACCAGUAUAGUGGUACGUUUAUUAAAUAAUGAAUUAAAAACGACAUGUAUAACUUUUAUUUGUAUCGUGAUGUGUUCACCGGUCCCACAACUUCCAUUACGCAGUCAAAAUGGUAACUAAGAGUGGAAAGUGUUCAGCGUUUCACACUGAACUAUUUGACCGUUAUAAUGAACCAUGCGGGUACUACCGGUAGGCCUAUAGUGCACACAAAUAUUUCAUGCUUCAGAUUGGAACACAUUUAUACACUCAAAACAGUAAAUGUAAGUACAGAAGUAUGCAAAUUGAGAUACAGCAAGGGAAAGAUAGCUGUUUUGUCAGUAUUCACUAAAACCAGUGUGCGAAAUAUGGGGUCCCUUCGUUCUGAGUUGGAGAGUAGCACGUUUAAGUUCGCGGCCAAAUAGUAAUUAAAGUAGUUUGUUACUAUACAAGUUAAGCGCCUGUAACAUCAGUGUUAAAUGUUCAUGUGCCGGUUGGUGUACCUUAUGAAAGUAAGUGUUUAUCGGUUCGCAGACGUAAUGAGCGACGUUGCAGUGGUCUAUAUGUAAUGCGCACGUUCUAUUGUUUACAAUUAGCAUGCUAAGCAGAGUUAGCUUUUUUCACGUCUUAUGUUGCCUUACUAUGUAAUAUGAAUGAGAUUCAUGUUGCUUAGUGUAAUGCCCCAUACACCGCUUGCUUUGCAUGUCCAGCAAACCAACCAGUGAAAUAGUUUCGGAAAGGACCACUCUACUGUGAUGAGGUGGAUUUGUUUAUCGGCGUUACUAUAGCGAUCAUGACGGUACUGAGCAUAAAGUAGAAAGUAGAUGAGACGAUAGAAGGGUAAGAAACCCAUAUGAAGAUAGGCUUUUUAUUUCAGUUAUCCUAUUUUUGCACCGAAAAUAUUUGAAAACCAUGAAAGUUUAAAAAGUUCAAGAUAAUGACCACUACACAAGCGAAGUUGUGACACCCCGUGUUCGUUCCCAGCGCCCCCCUAGGUUGUACGAACGCCCCCCACGGGGCGCUGACGCCCCCGUUGAGAAACCCUGUAAUAUAAAACAACGUGCAUCCAAACAACUUUAGCCAAUGCAACCUCCUAUGUCAGUGUUGCGCAACAAUCGGGAGAUGGGACCCCCCGAAUAUUGACGGGUAUUUCGCACACUGACUAAAACCAUUAUUUUUCAGCCUCUGUAGCAGAUAAAAACAUAAAAUGAAAAGCAUUUAAGAGCUUAAACCACAAGGAAUGAUUGUAUUCACUGUAAUAUUAAAUCACAUGUUUGUAAAGCUGUUUGAAAUAAAAUUAUGAUAAUUAAUUAAUAUUUUUUCUUCCUACCAGGUUAUAGAUGGGACAAUGGAUGAUGUUACAGUGUCAAUUUUUAAGGCUGCUAACAUCGAUGAGGUAUUGAUGCACUCCCUCACUCGUGAUGAUUUGAGAGACCUUUUUCCUGGGCCAGAACACUUUCUUAGGAGAAAAAGAGUGUGGUCUUUGAUCAGCCCAGAGGACGAGAAUCCUAUCUUAAAAGAUAAAGAUGGCCCUUCUGAAACAGGAACUCCACCUUGUAGAAAACAUAGUCUCCCCCAAACAUCCACUCCUUUGGAGAAAAAACGCCCAAAGAUGACCCUAUAGCUACCUAGUCCACCAGAGUAUGUGAUUUACACGGACAGUGAGUUGGAACAAGCUUGUAGACAUUACUUUGAGAUGGCCCGCACAGGCAGAGAGGGGGAAUGUGUAAUGUCCAAGGAGUUGAGUUGCAGGCUAGUGAGGAACACACUCACGAGCAUGAUUUCCAUCCUGAGAGCAAGUCCACAAGGAGAAGAGCUUCAGUACCCUUCCAACCCUGAACUCACAGCCAUGGCUAAGAAAGUAGUUGAGUAUUAUCCCAUGUUACAAGACAAAGAUGAAGCUGUGAAACAUACAACCAUUCACAAUAAACUUAAAAAGAGGCUUCUGAACGUAAAGUCUCCGCAAAAGAGGCAAGGGUCUGCACAAGAGAGGAGCUGUCCAAAGAAGAGGCGUUGCCUUGACUUGUCCGCAAGUGACUCAGGAAAAGAUUAUGAUGCUGACUCAAGUGACGCAGGUGGAUCAACAAUUAUUUUGGAUCAGACUCUUACCAGUUCUGAUGAAAAUGAAAGUACAUGU